Molecule: ribosomal RNA, 489 nt
Filed under: Enterococcus faecalis
Lineage: Bacteria; Bacillati; Bacillota; Bacilli; Lactobacillales; Enterococcaceae
Description: partial 23S ribosomal RNA
Rfam family: Bacterial large subunit ribosomal RNA
Source: RNAcentral
AGUACCGUGAGGGAAAGGUGAAAAGCACCCCGGAAGGGGAGUGAAAUAGAUCCUGAAACCGUGUGCCUACAACAAGUCAAAGCUCGUUAAUGAGUGAUGGCGUGCCUUUUGUAGAAUGAACCGGCGAGUUACGAUUGCAUGCGAGGUUAAGUCGAAGAGACGGAGCCGCAGCGAAAGCGAGUCUGAAUAGGGCGAAUGAGUAUGUAGUCGUAGACCCGAAACCAUGUGAUCUACCCAUGUCCAGGUUGAAGGUGCGGUAAAACGCACUGGAGGACCGAACCCACGUACGUUGAAAAGUGCGGGGAUGAGGUGUGGGUAGCGGAGAAAUUCCAAACGAACUUGGAGAUAGCUGGUUCUCUCCGAAAUAGCUUUAGGGCUAGCCUCGGAAUUGAGAAUGAUGGAGGUAGAGCACUGUUUGGACUAGGGGCCCAUCUCGGGUUACCGAAUUCAGAUAAACUCCGAAUGCCAUUCAUUUAUAUCCGGGAGUCA